This 368-nucleotide long non-coding RNA is filed under the name Ficedula albicollis (Collared flycatcher). Its description in RNAcentral is "lncRNA (ENSFALG00000023472.1)". Lineage: Eukaryota; Metazoa; Chordata; Aves; Passeriformes; Muscicapidae. The record is from RNAcentral.
GUUUUUACCUGGUGAGAAGGUACCUGUGCACUUAUCCAUCUGUAACAGGUAAAUACAUAUUUUUAGUUUUUACUUUUUUUUUUGUCCAGUGACAAAAGAUGAGAACCUGAUGAUCAACUUCCACCAUUCAUUUCGCUCGUCUCUCACAUGUUGUUUCAGCAGAACAUAAGGAUACUGAACUAACAGAUCAAGUACUGGAUCUACCUUCUGAGUUGAUGGUACUGAACUGCAGUGUAAGAACUAAAAACCCAAAGCAUUUUAUUGCAUGAAAUCAUAAGAAAGAAAACCGUAUCACAGCUGAGUACAGUGAUAAUUUCUUCUGCCUUAUUUUACACUAAAAGUAAAUAUCAUACAUGAUUGACACAGAU